Antechinus flavipes (yellow-footed antechinus) is the source of this 573-nucleotide long non-coding RNA. RefSeq lists it as uncharacterized. Lineage: Eukaryota; Metazoa; Chordata; Mammalia; Dasyuromorphia; Dasyuridae. The record is from RefSeq and is a predicted model, not a curated record. The transcript is spliced from 5 exons.
UAAAUUUGCCGGGGGCCGCUCGUUUGUGGGCUCCAGUAGGAGCUCUCUGAUUCUGAGUACCACACAUCUGUAAAUUCUCCAGGCCCAGAUGUCAGCAAUGGCUUAAAUGUAUUUUAGAGCAAGAGGGUCAAAAGCCAUUCCGUGCUCCCCCAGCCCUAUUGCACCCGGCUUUCCCUCAUAUGCCGGCUCUUUGGAGUAAAGAGAGUCUGAGCAAAAUAGGAGAGAAACUGGCUCUGAGAACGGCAACUAGAAUUCAAGGCCGAGAAUCAGGAGCAAAAAGAGGAUAGAUAAAAAUGUAGAAGGAUUUUGAGGCAUAAAGACAUGGAAGUGAGGAAGAUCAUGACAGCUGACUUUGAUUUCUUCUUAAAAUUUUGUAUACCUUCAGGGUUGACUAUUUUCAUCUUUUAUCAUCUUUGUCAAUCUGCUUGGAGGAGUCUGUAAGUAGUGCCAAGCGAAGCCUGCACAAUGCCUGAAUUUCUGUAACUGUUUUUCUCAGCAUGGAGCAAGAAGUGUAAAUUUGUCUUGAAAAAGUCUUCUAGAAUCAGCAGCAAGUACAGAAAUAAUAAAAUUCAA